ACCCACGCCAUCACCCUUCUAUCGCCAGCCUGCUGGGUCAAAUACUUUUUUUUUCGAAUAUUUCCUGACGGCUCAGACGCGUGGAUGGAAGGAGUAGGAGGAAGACGAAGGAGUAUCAAUGGAGAAGGAUGAAGAAAAAAUGAGAAAUAAAGGUGGAAUAGGAGAAGAAGCCAAGGUGUAAUAUUUAGGUGACGACAGGCAGAAUGAGGUGGACGUGGCGGAGGCUGUGGGCGGUCAAUUCACGGCGCAGAUAACCUACACUUUGCACCACGCUGACUGCCCGCCCCUGUUCACUAAAGUCGGGCAAGCCUUUAUCUCCGUGUUCUGCCCUGGGUAUAGGAGUAAAUGCUGGCAGUGGCAUACCUAAGCAGCGCAUGUGGGACGGCAUCAAUGAUUGCUGCAGUAACGGAGAGGAUGAGUUUGUGCAGCUGUGUGGCAUUGAGGAGUGUCGGGAGAAGAAUGUAGGGUGUGUGUGAGUCUGUUUACAUCAACACUCGAGAGUCAUACUUCUGCCAGUGCCGGCCAUGCAGGGUACAGACUCGUGUCGGAAAGUUCAAGUGUGAAGACGUUGACGAGUGCGUGGAGUCGCCCAGAUCUUCUCCCUGUGGACCAUCCCCUCAGCAGUGUUCGAUCCGCCCAGCAGCAGCAACGGUCAUGAGAAGGCGGUCAUUGAAGUGUCAAGUCCCCAAGCUGGCACGGUGGUGGGUGUUGUGUUAGGCUCCCUUAGGGUUCUUUCCCUAGCUGUUGGGUGUACAGAUGUUUGUUGGGUUCCUGAAGAUGCGUCGACGUGUUAUCAUCCACGCAAGCUUCCCCAACCCAGCCAGUGUACCACAAGACAACAGGCAUUGAGGAGGACGGGAGGCAGGCAUUGAGAAGGACGGGAGGAGGGAGCGAGCGGCUGCAUGCACUAUUGAACGGGACGGUAUUGUAUGAAUCGGUACUACUAACGCCAAAGAAGUGAGGGAAGUGUUUGGAUCGAGCGUGCAAGACGUACAACAGACACCAGACUGCUACUGCCGGUGUAGCCAAAGGAACAAGAGGAGGCAGAGGAGGAGGAGGAGGAAGAAGAAGAGGAACAAGAGAGUGAUUCUUGGAGACGUACCAAUGAAGUUCUGAAGAGACGGCCAACCCGUCAGGAAGUCAACUGAUCACGCAGGGACGCCAAAGAACGCCUGACUCCCGAUCUUUCUAAGAUUUCUGAUUGGGGCAGAGACAAUCUAGUAGUUUUCAAUGCCUCAAAAACUCAAUUCCUCCAUCUAUCAACUCAACACAACCUUUCAGACAGACGUUGACGGGUGCGUGUAGUCGCCCAGAUCCUCUCCCUGUGGAACCAUCCCCUCAACAGUGUUCGAUCCGCCCAGCAGCAGCAACGGUCAGGAGAAGGCGGUCAUUGAAGUGUCAAGUCCCCAAGCUGGCAUGGUGGUAGGUGUUGUGCUGGGCUCCCUUGGGGUUCUUUGUCUAGCUGUUGGGGUAAGUCAAAUAGUUUUUCACUCCUUUAUGCUCUGGGGUCUUGCUGUGUAUGUCUUUUUGCUGUGUUGUUCUGUGGCUAAGAUCUCGUAAUUAAGAUGUGCAUGUGAUUUCUCCAAAAUUUAAACAGUUCCCAAAUCAUUCUUGACACAUUGAAAAUAUUCCAAUACUGUAUAGUUAUUCGACUCAUACUUCAGAGGAUUUUUAUUUAUCUUUUUUUUUCUCACUUGCAACAUUUUUACUCUAAAGACGUUUGUCAAGUUGUUGAAGAUUCGUCGACGUGUUAUCAUUGUACCACACGGGCUGGGAUUUUCAUUGAAGGAAAAGUCUCUUCCAAGUCAAUUUUACAUAUAUUUCAAAUAUAGUAAAGUACAUUCGAACAAAAAACGAUGAAAGUGACUCGGCACUCUGAACCAACAACAGAGAAACACGAGAGGCACCCUUAACACACUCUCCCACUUGAAUACACCACUUAACUCCACAUAAUGACACCCUCGAUUAUAUUAACACGAAACUCCGCUGCCCUGAUCACAUUACCCACCUGAUCAGAGACCUUCGCUCACCGUGACGCGUCCACACCCCACCAAUGUUCGAGUAGAGAGUGCCACUCCCUUCUUCCGAGAUCGCGUCCUUUCCUGCCCCACACUCAAAUCUACUGCCCCGCGUGCCAAUUCACGCAAUGUUAAAUACCCUGCCUUCCUUAUUCUAUUCCUCCGUAUACAUGUUGUAGUACACUUCAUGCUAACACUAAUAUUUCUACCAUGCUCAACAUUCCAGAAUCCCUACUCAUAAAGUUCCUCCGCUCGUAUUAAUUAUGGGUUUGGUACGGCAGUUUUCUUCCUUAGGCCUACAGAGCCACCCACGCAAACCCGAUCCACCUUGGCUCUCCUUAAUAUACCAUACUUAUCGUUACAUCAUCC
RNAcentral lists this long non-coding RNA (2387 nucleotides) under Portunus trituberculatus (swimming crab). RNAcentral's name for it is "uncharacterized LOC123502313, transcript variant X4". Lineage: Eukaryota; Metazoa; Arthropoda; Malacostraca; Decapoda; Portunidae. The record is from RNAcentral.